RNAcentral lists this ribosomal RNA (206 nucleotides) under uncultured bacterium. RNAcentral's name for it is "partial 16S ribosomal RNA". It matches the Rfam family "Bacterial small subunit ribosomal RNA", at positions 568 to 774 of the family's 1533-position model. The record is from RNAcentral.
UGCGUAGGUGGUUUCUUAAGUCAGAGGUGAAAGGCUACGGCUCAACCGUAGUAAGCCUUUGAAACUGGGAAACUUGAGUGCAGGAGAGGAGAGUGGAAUUCCUAGUGUAGCGGUGAAAUGCGUAGAUAUUAGGAGGAACACCAGUGGCGAAGGCGGCUUACUGGACGGUAACUGACGUUGAGGCUCGAAAGCGUGGGGAGCAAACA